RNAcentral lists this ribosomal RNA (253 nucleotides) under uncultured bacterium. RNAcentral describes it as "partial 16S ribosomal RNA". It matches the Rfam family "Bacterial small subunit ribosomal RNA", at positions 524 to 776 of the family's 1533-position model. The record is from RNAcentral.
UACGUAGGGUGCAAGCAUUAAUCGGAUUUAUUGGGCGUAAAGGGCGCGUAGGCGGAUUGGCAAGUCAGCUGUGAAAGCCCCCAGCUCAACUGGGGAAUGGCAGGUGAAACUACUAAUCUUGAGGGUAGGCGGAGAAAACGGAAUUCCACGUGUAGCGGUGAAAUGCGUAGAUAUGUGGAAGAACACCGGUGGCGAAAGCGGUUUUCUAGCUUAUACCUGACGCUGAGGCGCGAAAGCAAGGGGAGCAAACAGG